GGGGAAUAUUGGACAAUGGGCGAAAGCCUGAUCCAGCAAUGCCGCGUGAGUGAUGAAGGCCCUAGGGUUGUAAAGCCCUUUUGGCGGGGAAGAUAAUGACGGUACCCGCAGAAGAAGCCCCGGCUAACUUCGUGCCAGCAGCCGCGGUAAUACGAAGGGGGCUAGCGUUGCUCGGAAUCACUGGGCGUAAAGCGCACGUAGGCGGCUUGUUAAGUCAGGGGUGAAAUCCUGGAGCUCAACUCCAGAACUGCCUUUGAUACUGGCGAGCUUGAGUCCGGGAGAGGUGAGUGGAACUGCGAGUGUAGAGGUGAAAUUCGUAGAUAUUCGCAAGAACACCAGUGGCGAAGGCGGCUCACUGGCCCGGUACUGACGCUGAGGUGCGAAAGCGUGGGGAGCAAAC
RNAcentral lists this ribosomal RNA (400 nucleotides) under uncultured bacterium. Its description in RNAcentral is "bacterial SSU rRNA". It matches the Rfam family "Bacterial small subunit ribosomal RNA", at positions 356 to 773 of the family's 1533-position model. The record is from RNAcentral.